RNAcentral lists this unclassified non-coding RNA (693 nucleotides) under Hevea brasiliensis (rubber tree). Lineage: Eukaryota; Viridiplantae; Streptophyta; Magnoliopsida; Malpighiales; Euphorbiaceae. The record is from RNAcentral.
CUUCUUCUUCUUCUUCUUCUGUUUCAAGGCUGUUGUCUGCUGUCUUCAAUGUCGUCUUCUUCUGUUCUUCUUCUUUUUGUUGUGACAGUUGUCUACAUGUGGGAAGAAAAAAAAAAAAGCGUGCGCUUACGGUUGGGCUCUCUAGGCACGCCUGAUGCCUUGGUGCGCCUGGGUGCACCUCCUGUAGGUCACUCGCCUUCAGGUGUCUCAGGCGAUGGGUCCCUUGCCUAGUGCGCCUUGCGCCUCAGGCGCACCUUUAAUAACAGUGCAUAUAUAUAUAUAUAUAUAACUGGGUUGAACUAAAACCGAUUGGAACCAAUCCAAUCCUUUUUCCACCCCAUCUCCAACCCAGAACCAGCCCGUGGCUAGGCCUACUCCAAAUGCAAUCUAACAUGGUUCCAAUCUUCUAGUGAUAUUUUACUGUUCAUCAACACACCACACAAUCAUCACUCUUGGCCCUAACAACUUUUCUGGAAGACCAUCUAUGGGCAGAAACAUAUGCCAUGAGUAUGCAAGAUGCUCUCAUGGCAAAUUUAAUGCUGCAAGUCUGUUAUUGUUGUUGAGUUUUUAUUUAUUUAUUCACCAUUUCUAUCCAUAAGAUUCACACAAACCUAAUGACAACGACAAAGCAUCAGAAUUUCUAAAGAAAAAGAAAAUGAAACCUUUGACAGGCAUAUCAGGUCUUGGAGCUAC